AAGUAUAUCUGUUGCUCUUCUAACUUUAUGUUUGAUAGGCAGAAGCAUUUGUUGGAUAUGGAGAAUCAGCGCUCCUUGUGAAUGGGUGGAAUGAAGCGACUGCCACAACUGCGUUCAAAGGGACAUGAGCUUUCUCUGGGGGAAAACCUGAUUCCAUGUUACCUGCUAAAGGCUGUUGCUAAGCCUGUGAUAGAUGAUGCCUGUGAUAGAUGAUGCAAUGCUCUCUAUUCAGGAACUGUCCUGGCAGAGAGAGAGACAAAGGAAGGAGUCGUCGUCGUCCUCGUCGUCGUCCUAGUCCUCGUCGUCAGCAGCAGCAGCAGCAGCAGCAGCAGGAAAGGGAGAGCUGAAGACAUGAAGAAGAGGCACGGCUGCUUCUAGUCCACAGGCUGGAUAGAGAGAAGGCUGAUACCUAUGUUCAAGAUAAUUCUCAUAUAAAGGUAAGAGGAUCUUUCACAAAAGGGAUAAAGCACCCCUUCAGGAGCAUGCUCUAAUCUUGGCUGGUAUGGGGCUCCUAAAAUUAUUGAUUGUUGCUGCUGCUUCUUUGAUUGCGCAGCAGUAGGUGAGCAGGUGUUGUGGGGUCAGCGUGGUUGGGUGGGCACAUUAGAG
This 606-nucleotide long non-coding RNA is filed under the name Struthio camelus australis. RNAcentral describes it as "lncRNA (ENSSCUG00000008899.1)". Lineage: Eukaryota; Metazoa; Chordata; Aves; Struthioniformes; Struthionidae. The record is from RNAcentral.